RNAcentral lists this ribosomal RNA (458 nucleotides) under uncultured bacterium. RNAcentral describes it as "partial 16S ribosomal RNA". It matches the Rfam family "Bacterial small subunit ribosomal RNA", at positions 338 to 795 of the family's 1533-position model. The record is from RNAcentral.
CCUACGGGAGGCAGCAGUGAGGAAUAUUGGUCAAUGGGCGAGAGCCUGAACCAGCCAAGUCGCGUGAGGGAGUACUGCCCUAUGGGUUGUAAACCUCUUUUGUCGGGGAGCAAAAGCCGGACGUGUCCUGCUGUGAGAGUACCCGAAGAAAAAGCAUCGGCAAACUCCGUGCCAGCAGCCGCGGUAAUACGGAGGAUGCGAGCGUUAUCCGGAUUUAUUGGGUUUAAAGGGUGCGCAGGCGGAUUUUUAAGUCAGCGGUAAAAUCGUGGGGCUCAACCCCAUCCAGCCGUUGAAACUGGGGAUCUAGAGUGUGCGAGAGGUAUGCGGAAUGCGUGGUGUAGCGGUGAAAUGCAUAGAUAUCACGCAGAACCCCGAUUGCGAAGGCAGCAUACCGGUGCACAACUGACGCUCAGGCACGAAAGCGUGGGUAUCGAACAGGAUUAGAUACCCUUGUAGUC